CCCUGGUCCAAGGAGCUGAGCUGUGGUGGUGCCUGGGAGCUGCCGCCUCAGAGGUAGAUGUGAUGCAGUGCCCUGCCCCCUGUUCAGGAGAACGGAAACAUCUGCUUUCGGAACCAGGCCUGUAAGAGCCGGUGCUGCCGCAAGGCAGAUGACUACUGCGAGUCGCACUGCACCAUGUUGGGGUCUGAGGGCAGCAAGUGUCAAACGCAGAUUUUCUUCGGCCUGUAUAAGGAGUGUCCCUGCCAAUCAAACCUGACUUGUAUAUUCCCGAAGAAUCAGAAAACAUUUAAACUCAUCUACGGCAGUUGUGAGAAAUAUGUAAAUCAGAAGACUCUUGAGAAAACAUGGUUCUAAUGCUGUCCUCCUCUGCGGCCCACCCUCCUGCCUACUCAGAACUCUGUGUUCCUGCCUCCGGCCCCAGAGCCUUGCUGGCAGGGGACAGGAGGGACAAUGAUGUCCCACUGCUGAAAUAAA
This 474-nucleotide long non-coding RNA is filed under the name Urocitellus parryii (Arctic ground squirrel). RNAcentral's name for it is "lncRNA (ENSUPAG00010015465.1)". The record is from RNAcentral. Lineage: Eukaryota; Metazoa; Chordata; Mammalia; Rodentia; Sciuridae.